UGGCGGACGGGUGAGUAAUGUCUGGGAACCUGCCCGAUGGAGGGGGAUAACUACUGGAAACGGUAGCUAAUACCGCAUAACGUCGCAAGACCAAAGAGGGGGACCUUAGGGCCUCUUGCCAUCGGAUGUGCCCAGAUGGGAUUAGCUAGUAGGUGGGGUAAUGGCUCACCUAGGCGACGAUCCCUAGCUGUCUGAGAGGAUGACCAGCCACACUGGAACUGAGACACGGUCCAG
This 234-nucleotide ribosomal RNA is filed under the name uncultured bacterium. Its description in RNAcentral is "partial 16S ribosomal RNA". It matches the Rfam family "Bacterial small subunit ribosomal RNA", at positions 96 to 334 of the family's 1533-position model. The record is from RNAcentral.